This 425-nucleotide ribosomal RNA is filed under the name uncultured bacterium. Its description in RNAcentral is "bacterial SSU rRNA". It matches the Rfam family "Bacterial small subunit ribosomal RNA", at positions 355 to 775 of the family's 1533-position model. The record is from RNAcentral.
UCGAGAAUCUUCCGCAAUGGGCGAAAGCCUGACGGAGCGACGCCGCGUGCGGGAUGAAGGCCUUCGGGUUGUAAACCGCUGUCAGUGGGGAGGAAAUGCACGGGGGUUCUCCCUCGUGUUUGACCGAUCCGCAGAGGAAGCACAGGCUAAGUUCGUGCCAGCAGCCGCGGUAACACGAACUGUGCAAACGUUAUUCGGAAUCACUGGGCUUAAAGAGUUCGUAGGCGGCGCGCUAAGUCGGGUGUGAAAGCCCUCGGCUCAACCGAGGAAUUGCGCCCGAUACUGGCGUGCUUGAGUGAGAUAGAGGUGAGCGGAACUGAUGGUGGAGCGGUGAAAUGCGUUGACAUCAUCAGGAACACCGGUGGCGAAAGCGGCUCACUGGGUCUCAACUGACGCUGAGGAACGAAAGCUAGGGUAGCGAACGG